AACGCACAUUGCGCCCGCCAGUAUUCUGGCGGGCAUGCCUGUCCGAGCGUCAUUUCAACCCCUCGAGCCCCCCCGGGGGCUCGGCGUUGGGGACCGGCCCCGCCCCGCCGCGGGUCGCCGCCCCCGAAAUACAGUGGCGGUCUCGCCGCAGCCUCCCCUGCGCAGUAGCUUUUUGUUUUUUUCCUCAAAGAACCUCGCACCGGAGCGCGGCGCGGCCACGCCGUUAAACCCCCCGUACCUUCUGAAAUGUUGACCUCGGAUCAGGUAGGAAUACCCGCUGAACUUAA
RNAcentral lists this unclassified non-coding RNA (287 nucleotides) under uncultured fungus. RNAcentral describes it as "partial contains 5.8S ribosomal RNA, internal transcribed spacer 2, and large subunit ribosomal RNA". The stretch from base 1 to 52 matches the Rfam family "5.8S ribosomal RNA", at positions 103 to 154 of the family's 154-position model. The record is from RNAcentral. Lineage: Eukaryota; Fungi.